Molecule: ribosomal RNA, 253 nt
Filed under: uncultured bacterium
Lineage: Bacteria
Description: partial 16S ribosomal RNA
Rfam family: Bacterial small subunit ribosomal RNA
Source: RNAcentral
UACGAAGGGGGCUAGCGUUGCUCGGAAUCACUGGGCGUAAAGAGCUCGUAGGCGGUUUGUCGCGUCUGCUGUGAAAACCUAAGGCUCAACCUUGGGCUUGCAGUGGGUACGGGCAGACUAGAGUGCGGUAGGGGUGACUGGAAUUCCUGGUGUAGCGGUGGAAUGCGCAGAUAUCAGGAGGAACACCGAUGGCGAAGGCAGGUCACUGGGCCGCAACUGACGCUGAGGAGCGAAAGCAUGGGGAGCGAACAGG